CCUACGGGAGGCAGCAGUGGGGAAUAUUGCACAAUGGGGGGAACCCUGAUGCAGCGACGCCGCGUGAGUGAAGAAGUAUUUCGGUAUGUAAAGCUCUAUCAGCAGGGAAGAAAAUGACGGUACCUGACUAAGAAGCCCCGGCUAACUACGUGCCAGCAGCCGCGGUAAUACGUAGGGGGCAAGCGUUAUCCGGAUUUACUGGGUGUAAAGGGAGCGCAGACGGCUGUGCAAGUCUGGAGUGAAAGGCGGGGGCACAACCCCCGGACUGCUCUGGAAACUGUAAAGCUGGAGUGCAGGAGAGGUAAGCGGAAUUCCUAGUGUAGCGGUGAAAUGCGUAGAUAUUAGGAGGAACACCAGUGGCGAAGGCGGCUUACUGGACUGCAACUGACGUUGAGGCUCGAAAGCGUGGGGAGCAAACAGGAUUAGAUACCCGAGUAGUC
Molecule: ribosomal RNA, 440 nt
Filed under: uncultured bacterium
Lineage: Bacteria
Description: partial 16S ribosomal RNA
Rfam family: Bacterial small subunit ribosomal RNA
Source: RNAcentral